RNAcentral lists this microRNA precursor (93 nucleotides) under Pteropus alecto (black flying fox). RNAcentral's name for it is "mir-217 microRNA precursor family". It matches the Rfam family "mir-217 microRNA precursor family". The record is from Rfam by way of RNAcentral. RNAcentral also lists the same sequence under 1 other name. Lineage: Eukaryota; Metazoa; Chordata; Mammalia; Chiroptera; Pteropodidae.
GAGUUUUUGAUGUCGCAGAUACUGCAUCAGGAACUGAUUGGAUAAGAAUCGGUUACCAUCAGUUCCUAAUGCAUUGCCUUCAGCAUCUAAACA